AGCUCCAAUAGCGUAUAUUAAAGUUGUUGCAGUUAAAAAGCUCGUAGUUGGAUUUUGGGUUUGGUAAAAUCGGUCUAUGUUAUAUAGUACUGACUUGCCUGCCCUUCUUCUCGAGGCCUAUGGGUGCACUUAACCGUGUGUUCAUAGUGUUCGGGACUUUUACCGUGAGAAAAUUAGAGUGUUCAAAGCAGGCUUUUGCUUGAAUAUUGCAGCAUGGAAUAAUGGAAUAGGAUCAUGAUCUUAUUUUGUUGGUUUCUAAGAUCAAGAUAAUGAUUAAUAGGGAUAGUUGGGGGCAUUAAUAUUUAGUUGUCAGAGGUGAAAUUCUUAGAUUUACAAAAGAUUAACUUCUGCGAAAGCAUUUGCCAAGGAUGUUUUCGUUAAUCAAGAACGAAAGUACGCA
Molecule: ribosomal RNA, 400 nt
Filed under: phytoplankton environmental sample
Lineage: Eukaryota
Description: partial small subunit ribosomal RNA
Rfam family: Eukaryotic small subunit ribosomal RNA
Source: RNAcentral